UUUGAACAAAAUGUAGUAGUUAAUUGUAUGGUAGCAACAGAAAGUUAGUGGUCGAUGUGAACUAACACCAAUAUUAAUGAAAUUGGGUUUUGUUUGUAAGAGAAAAUUAAAUAAAAAAGAGUGAACUUUGAAUAUUUCGAAUAUUCGGUUAAUUUAGGUGGUACCACGCGUCAGCGUCCUUUAA
Molecule: unclassified non-coding RNA, 184 nt
Filed under: Staphylococcus argenteus
Lineage: Bacteria; Bacillati; Bacillota; Bacilli; Caryophanales; Staphylococcaceae
Description: T-box
Source: RNAcentral